This 541-nucleotide transfer RNA is filed under the name uncultured cyanobacterium. RNAcentral's name for it is "partial 16S-23S ribosomal RNA intergenic spacer". The stretch from base 212 to 284 matches the Rfam family "tRNA". Lineage: Bacteria; Bacillati; Cyanobacteriota. The record is from RNAcentral.
CAGGGAGACAACAAAAUGUUUAAUAUUAUUAUUUUGUCACCUUAGGUCGAUCGGUAUCUCACGUUUUUAAUUUAUUAAAAAUUUCAUUUCCUAAGUUUUUCUAGGUCACACCCAUUAUUUUUCCUGGGCCAUUAGCUCAGGUGGUUAGAGCGCACCCCUGAUAAGGGUGAGGUCCCUGGUUCAAGUCCAGGAUGGCCCAUAUCUCUAUGUUGGGGGUAUAGCUCAGUUGGUAGAGCGCCUGCUUUGCAAGCAGGAUGUCAGCGGUUCGAGUCCGCUUACCUCCACUGAUCACCACCUCUUCCAUAACAGGUAGAAAGGAAAUUUUUUGAGUUGUGAUCAAAUUCUGAAAGAAUCUAGCUUCCUAAUGAAAUCAUUAAGAUGCUGGACUCAUUGAAUUAAUUUCAUUGUUUUCAGAGAACCUUGACAACUGCAUAGAUUAUUUUUAAAGACAAUAAGCAUCUUUAAUGAUGCAGAUUUAUUAUUUGUGCAAAUGCAUUAAUAACAAUUCUAUUAAGCUGAUGCUUCAAUAUUUGAAGUUAUU